RNAcentral lists this ribosomal RNA (825 nucleotides) under Triticum aestivum (bread wheat). RNAcentral's name for it is "partial small subunit ribosomal RNA". Lineage: Eukaryota; Viridiplantae; Streptophyta; Magnoliopsida; Poales; Poaceae. The record is from RNAcentral.
AUGUAUAACCAUCCACCAGAUGAUCCUGAUGAUACAGAUCAACAACAUGAUAGUGAUGCCAGAAACACUACAUAUCCAACAGAGUUAUACACACUUGAUGAAUUCCUAGCCGAGGAGGACAUGCUAGACUCCUUCGCCGAGGAGAUUGCUGUGGAGUUGAAGGGAACACUUGAGGCUCUUCAAGCAAGAUCACUUAGCAGGAGUGGUCCGAGGAUAUACGUGAAUAGACCGCGUGAAGAAGCACAUCAACAACUUGUACGAGAUUACUUCUGUGACAAUCCUCUCUACCGCGCCAAAAAAAUUCGGAGAAGAUUCAGGAUGAGACGACCUCUCUUUCUUCGCAUCGUCAAUGCGCUAGGUGAGUGGUCUCCAUACUUCACCACAAGGACAGAUGCGCUUAACCGUGAAGGGCUCUCUCCACUGCAAAAGUGCACGGCGGCAAUACGCCAAUUGGCUUAUGGCACACCUGCAGAUAGUCUUGAUGAAUAUCUCAAGAUUAGCGAGACUACCGCAGUUGAUUGCUUGAAGAACUUUGUGCAAGGAGUGAUUGAUACCUAUGCUGCAGAGUAUUUGCGAAGCCCCAACACUGAAGAUACAGAGCGCUUACUCUGCAUUGGCGAAGGUCGUGGGUUUCCUGGCAUGUUAGGAAGCCUGGAUUGUAUGCAUUGGCGUUGGGAAAAUGUCCUAUUGCAUGGAAGGGCCAAUUUACUCGUGGCGAUAAAGGGUGGCCUAGUCUUAUUCUGGAAGCAGUUGCUUCGCAAGAUCUCCGGAUAUGGCAUGCCUACUUUGGUAUUGCUGGGUCAAACAAUGACAUCAAUGUGCUAA